UAAGGAAUAUUGCUCAAUGGGAGAAAUCCUGAAGCAGCAACGCCGCGUGGAGGAUGAAGGGUCUAUGACUUGUAAACUCCUGUAAAGAAGGAAAAAAUUCCCAUUUGAUGGGAGAUGAUGGUACUUCUGGAGUAAGCCCCGGCUAACUACGUGCCAGCAGCCGCGGUAAUACGUAGGGGGCAAGCGUUGUCCGGAUUUACUGGGUGUAAAGGGUGCUCAGGCGGAUUUGUAAGUCAGAGGUGAAAUCUUACAGCUUAACUGUGAAACUGCCUUUGAUACUGCAAGCCUAGAGUAUGGAAGAGAGUGAUGGAAUAUCUGGUGUAGCAGUGAAAUGCGUAAAUAUCAGAUAGAACACCAAUGGCGAAGGCAGUCACUUGGUCCAUUACUGACGCUAAAGCACGAAAGCGUGGGUAGCAAACA
Molecule: ribosomal RNA, 420 nt
Filed under: uncultured bacterium
Lineage: Bacteria
Description: bacterial SSU rRNA
Rfam family: Bacterial small subunit ribosomal RNA
Source: RNAcentral